This 639-nucleotide long non-coding RNA is filed under the name Balaenoptera musculus (blue whale). RNAcentral's name for it is "lncRNA (ENSBMSG00010001405.1)". Lineage: Eukaryota; Metazoa; Chordata; Mammalia; Artiodactyla; Balaenopteridae. The record is from RNAcentral.
CUCAGUCCGAUAAAGAGAGUGUGAAGCUUCUCACUGUUAAGACAAUUUCUCAUGAGUCUGGUGAACACUCUGCACAAGGAAAAACCAAGAACUGACAGCUUGAUGGAUCCUCUCCACACCUGGGCAAUAAAUAUGCUUACUCUUCAGCUUCUGUGCUCCAGAGGUAGAAAGGGAGAAAGCCCUGUGGAUUCAAUCCUGACUUCCAACCCUGCUCGCCAGUGUGCACCAGUCACCUGUCCCAAUAAAGUGAUGUCCAGAUGACACGCAAUAAUAGAAGAGAAUCGGAAACCAUCCUCGGCCUCUCCUGUCCUUUAAGAUGUGAAAAAACACAUUACCACAUUUUAUAGGAACAUUCCUAGGGGAGGGAAUUUUAGGAGGGGCAUCUGUGAGCAGGUAACCUGACAGCCCAGGCAGGUGGCUUCACUGAUGAAAUGACUGUCCCUUGAGUUUAAAGUUUUCAGAACUAACAUUUCUUAUCCACAGAGACUUUCCUACUUUCUCAGUGUUCUUUUGUUACCUAACGUUUGUAUUUAUUGUUUUCCACUAUGUUAAUGCAGGGAACAUUUGCAAGUGUAUUAAAUAUUGGGUCGAAAUCCUGCCAUGCCACUUUGUACAUAAAGAUAUUUUAUUCAUGCUUCC